RNAcentral lists this ribosomal RNA (548 nucleotides) under Bifidobacterium longum subsp. infantis. RNAcentral describes it as "bacterial SSU rRNA". It matches the Rfam family "Bacterial small subunit ribosomal RNA", at positions 40 to 598 of the family's 1533-position model. The record is from RNAcentral. Lineage: Bacteria; Bacillati; Actinomycetota; Actinomycetes; Bifidobacteriales; Bifidobacteriaceae.
CGGCGUGCUUAACACAUGCAAGUCGAACGGGAUCCAUCAGGCUUUGUUUGGUGGUGAAAGUGGCGAACGGGUGACUUAAUGCGUGACCGACCUGCCCCAUACACCGGAAUAGCUCCUGGAAACGGGUGGUAAUGCCGGAUGCUCCAGUUGAUCGCAUGGUCUUCUGGGAAAGCUUUCGCGGUAUGGGAUGGGGUCGCGUCCUAUCAGCUUGACGGCGGGGUAACGGCCCACCGUGGCUUCGACGGGUAGCCGGCCUGAGAGGGCGACCGGCCACAUUGGGACUGAGAUACGGCCCAGACUCCUACGGGAGGCAGCAGUGGGGAAUAUUGCACAAUGGGCGCAAGCCUGAUGCAGCGACGCCGCGUGAGGGAUGGAGGCCUUCGGGUUGUAAACCUCUUUUAUCGGGGAGCAAGCGUGAGUGAGUUUACCCGUUGAAUAAGCACCGGCUAACUACGUGCCAGCAGCCGCGGUAAUACGUAGGGUGCAAGCGUUAUCCGGAAUUAUUGGGCGUAAAGGGCUCGUAGGCGGUUCGUCCCGUCCGGUGUUAA